Molecule: ribosomal RNA, 253 nt
Filed under: uncultured bacterium
Lineage: Bacteria
Description: partial 16S ribosomal RNA
Rfam family: Bacterial small subunit ribosomal RNA
Source: RNAcentral
UACAGAGGUCUCGAGCGUUAGGCGGAAUCACUGGGCUUAAAGCGUGUGUAGGCGGGUCGUUAAGUGCCUUGUGAGAUCCCAUGGCUCAACCAUGGAACUGCUGGGCAUACUGGCGAUCUUGUGCCACCUAGGGGCGAGCGGAACAGAUGGUGGAGCGGUGAAAUGCGUAGAUAUCAUCUGGAACGCCAAUGGUGAAAACAGCUCGCUGGGGGUGUGCAGACGCUGAGACACGAAAGCCAGGGGAGCGAACGGG